UCUAUGUAUCUUAAGUAAAAUUUUAUACUGUAUCUUAAGAGUUUUUAAUGCUCUCGAAUUAAACAUUCGAACAUUAAGAAUAUUAAAUGGAUUUUUUACAAACAACGUACCAAUAAGAAUAAGACCCGCUUACUGCUCAAAAAUGUCCUCACUAUAAUAGGAGAAAUAACUUUACCAAGUUUCGCAGUCGAACUCUUUAAAAAGGUCCAGUAUGAGCGAUUGAACAAGAAUUGGAUGUAAGGGAGCAAAUCCAUUGUAUUGAGGAUUUAAUGGACAACCCCCAAAUACAGUCUCUUGAGAAAGAAACAAUCCGAUGGGACUUUGUUAAAGAAAAACUACAUAACCAGAAGUAUAAUAAGAAAAGAAUAAAAGGAUCCAUGCUAGAAUUAAUUAGAAAGACUAGAAGAUGCAUGGAGACUAACAACAUUUUAUUAACCAGAGAGGACAAAACUAAAAGAAUAAUCAUAAUGAAAGAAGAAGAAUAUGAUAACCACCUAUUGAAGUACAUAGAAGAAUCGACCCCC
This 524-nucleotide long non-coding RNA is filed under the name Androctonus crassicauda. The record is from RNAcentral. Lineage: Eukaryota; Metazoa; Arthropoda; Arachnida; Scorpiones; Buthidae.